This 253-nucleotide ribosomal RNA is filed under the name uncultured bacterium. RNAcentral describes it as "partial 16S ribosomal RNA". It matches the Rfam family "Bacterial small subunit ribosomal RNA", at positions 524 to 776 of the family's 1533-position model. The record is from RNAcentral.
GACGAACCGUGCGAACGUUGUCCGGAAUCACUGGGCUUAAAGGGCGCGUAGGCGGGCUGGCAAGUCCGGGGUGAAAUCCUCCAGCUUAACUGGAGAACGGCCUCGGAUACUGCCGGCCUGGAGGCGGGUAGGGGCGGGCGGAACUCUGGGUGGAGCGGUGAAAUGCGUUGAUAUCCAGAGGAACUCCGGUGGCGAAGGCGGCCCGCUGGACCCGGUCUGACGCUGAGGCGCGAAAGCCAGGGGAGCGAACGGG